Molecule: non-coding RNA, 897 nt
Organism: Rattus norvegicus (Norway rat)
Lineage: Eukaryota; Metazoa; Chordata; Mammalia; Rodentia; Muridae
Source: RefSeq, a predicted model, not a curated record
GAUAUUAUUUCUGUUCCAUAUAAUAAUUAAUUGUAAGUGCAGAAGAUCCAUGUCCUUUAUUAAUUUAUUUAUUCAUGUGCUCAGUUUCAGUAUCAAAAUGUUCUAAAUUUUCAUUCUGUGAGUGGAAGACACCAGUGAACACAACACAUCUAUUUGUACCUCUUAUGUUUCAAAGAAAAAAAAUGAGGAGACAGUGUCUUUUUUCCACAUUAUUUUGAUGAAUGUUAUUUAAAAUAAGAACUUUACUUUUCUAAACAUAAUGGUAAUGUUUCACAUAUGCUUGGUUCAGGGAGUGCUACUAUUAGACGGUGUGGCCUUGUUGGAAAAAGUGUGUCACUGUGGUUGUGGUCUUGGAGACCCUCCUCCUAGUUGCCUGAGGAUGCUCAGUCUGUUCCUGUAGAAAUCUCAGCUCCUCCUACACCAUGCCUGCCUGGAUGCUGCCAUGCUCCUGACUUGAUGAUAAUGGACUGAACCUCUGAACCUGAAAUCUCCAACUUUAUGAAAACAAUAUUGGAAUGGAUCAAAUUAUUAGUCCAUGAUUCAUUUUGAGUUAAUUUUUGCAGGUGGGUGCUCAGUGUCCCUGUGCCAUUAGCUGAGAUGAGUUUUGUUGCUGUCUAAUAUCGUUCUUGUUCCUUGGUAAAGUAUUAAUUUUCUAUGUCUAUAUGGAUGCGCUCCUGGGCCCCCUAUCUGCUUCCAUUUAUAUGUGGUCCCUGGUCUUGAUUCCUAUAAUUUUCUACAAAUUUUGGCUGGACAUUAUAAGUCCUCCAACAUUUUUCUCCUAUCCCUAGCAUUAAGUAUGCUAUUCUGAGUCUUCUUUUGCUUCAACAUAAAAUUUUCUAUGUUUUUAUCAAUACCCACAAAUAAUUUGCCAAAAAAGAGAUUUAAUAUACAAUUUUG